AUUGUGCAAACUGGCCCCUUUCCCAGCGUAUCACUCUCCCAUUGAACGAGGUCAAGCGCCGCCGCGGUCCUUCCGCAGCCCUGAUGGGUUUUCAGGAGCUGGUGAAUGGCGUGCAAAUUAGCCAAGUCCUCGGGAGCCUCGUUACUGUCACUCCCAAACCGAAGCUCCAGAGGCAACCCCGGAGGCGUCUCCAGCAGAAGACUCCUGCCCACGCCUGCCCUGCUCGCUCAACACCAUAAAAGCCAUGGAGCCUCUGCCUGCUGAGAACUGGAUUCAGGUCAGCUGUAAUCCCAGCUCUACCAAUAAGGCUUUCUCAGGAACCCAACUAGCUAGCGUCUACAUCGCACCAGGUUGAGCCCUUUUCAAGCCUGACUCCACCCCACUGGAUGUUCACUAAUGCUCUCUCCAUUUUACAUCUGAGAUGGAAGACGCAUCUACUUAGAUUGACAGCUUGACUCUGACACUCACCGUUGAUUGCAGAACACCUGGCGGGUGGCAGCCCUGAACCCACCCAGUGAGCAAGCAAACUCCAGUGAGUGGCUAUCACAUAUACAUCCAAUGAGGAACUGGAAAAAUUAUGCAUUAAGGAAUUUGUAAUAAUCUCUCAAAUGAACAGACAGGCAAAUAUCCAGUGACUCUAUAAAUAUAAAUCUAAUGAAUUCAUAGCUAGUGAAUGAAUCAGCAAAUUUAUCUACUAAUUAAAGAUGAGCAAGUGGAUAAAUAUUUAAAGAGUGACAAUAAUUUGUGUUAUUAACCAACAUGCAAAUAUCAAUAAACAAAUAUCUAUGUAAGUGUAUACACAACCCAUAAAUAAAUGUUAAAUGAAUAAAUAAACAAAUGAAAA
This is a long non-coding RNA of Mus musculus (house mouse), 844 nucleotides long. RefSeq annotates it as predicted gene, 52688. The transcript has 3 exons. The record is from RefSeq and is marked validated. Lineage: Eukaryota; Metazoa; Chordata; Mammalia; Rodentia; Muridae.